This 63-nucleotide transfer RNA is filed under the name Photinus signaticollis. Its description in RNAcentral is "tRNA-Ile". Lineage: Eukaryota; Metazoa; Arthropoda; Insecta; Coleoptera; Lampyridae. The record is from RNAcentral.
AAUGGUAUGCCUGAGUAAAGGAUUAUUUUGAUAGAAUAAAUCAUGCAAUUUCUGCUAUCAUUA